AAUGAACGCUGGCGGCAGGCCUAACACAUGCAAGUCGAACGAACCCUUCGGGGUGAGUGGCGCACGGGUGAGUAACACGUGGGAAUUUACACUUAGGUGCGGAAUAACAGUUGGAAACGACUGCUAAUACCGCAUAAUGACUCCGGUCCAAAGAUUUAUCGCCUAAGGAUAAGCCCGCGUCUGAUUAGGUAGUUGGUAGGGUAAUGGCCUACCAAGCCUACGAUCAGUAGCUGGUUUGAGAGGAUGAUCAGCCACACUGGGACUGAGACACGGCCCAG
Molecule: ribosomal RNA, 278 nt
Filed under: uncultured bacterium
Lineage: Bacteria
Description: partial 16S ribosomal RNA
Rfam family: Bacterial small subunit ribosomal RNA
Source: RNAcentral